Molecule: ribosomal RNA, 500 nt
Filed under: uncultured bacterium
Lineage: Bacteria
Description: partial 16S ribosomal RNA
Rfam family: Bacterial small subunit ribosomal RNA
Source: RNAcentral
AUUGAACGCUGGCGGAAUGCUUUACACAUGCAAGUCGAACGGCAGCACGGGGGCAACCCUGGUGGCGAGUGGCGAACGGGUGAGUAAUACAUCGGAACGUGCCCAGUCGUGGGGGAUAACGUAGCGAAAGUUACGCUAAUACCGCAUACGAUCUACGGAUGAAAGCGGGGGACCGUAAGGCCUCGCGCGAUUGGAGCGGCCGAUGUCAGAUUAGGUAGUUGGUGAGGUAAAGGCUCACCAAGCCGACGAUCUGUAGCUGGUCUGAGAGGACGACCAGCCGCACGGGGGCGGAGACGCGGCCCAGACUCCUACGGGAGGCAGCAGUGGGGAAUUUUGGACAAUGGGCGCAAGCCUGAUCCAGCCAUUCCGCGUGCAGGACGAAGGCCUUCGGGUUGUAAACUGCUUUUGUACGGAACGAAAAGGCUCUGGUUAAUACCUGGGGCUCAUGACGGUACCGUAAGAAUAAGCACCGGCUAACUACGUGCCAGCCGCCGCCGUAA